Molecule: small nucleolar RNA, 138 nt
Organism: Tachyglossus aculeatus (Australian echidna)
Lineage: Eukaryota; Metazoa; Chordata; Mammalia; Monotremata; Tachyglossidae
Source: RefSeq, a predicted model, not a curated record
AUACUCUGAGGGUCGCAUCUGGAGAGUUUACAGUAUUCUACCAGACUCAGCUAAGGGAGGGAGAGUCCAACAGAGGCCUACCCAUUCCAUUCCUAGCUUGGGCGGUGGCUAACGAGUGGAAGGCAAUCUGCUACAAGU